Molecule: unclassified non-coding RNA, 333 nt
Filed under: Hevea brasiliensis (rubber tree)
Lineage: Eukaryota; Viridiplantae; Streptophyta; Magnoliopsida; Malpighiales; Euphorbiaceae
Source: RNAcentral
GUCUUCUAGCCGUGGAACAUGUAUAAGUCCAAAAAUAUACCAAAGAACUAUUUGCGUUUCUUCUAGGGAUCGAUUCUGCUGAACCCAAGUAGCCAAACCUUCACCAACACGGGGAUUUUGAUUUGGAAACUCUCCUCCAGGAAACAUCUCUUCACGAGAGUAAGGGGUGACCCAAAGAUUAUGCUUUAAGAAGGCAGCUCUCCUCAAGAAUUUUGCCUCUGAACCAGCUAGUGGCAGACAAUUUGAACCUGGUACUAGCUUAUAACCAGUUAACUGCCCAGUGCGAUUGACUGUUCUUGUGUUCCGGAUAAUCCAAUGGCGUGCAGUUAAAGG